RNAcentral lists this ribosomal RNA (429 nucleotides) under Chloroflexota bacterium. RNAcentral describes it as "Chloroflexi bacterium partial 16S ribosomal RNA". It matches the Rfam family "Bacterial small subunit ribosomal RNA", at positions 355 to 776 of the family's 1533-position model. The record is from RNAcentral. Lineage: Bacteria; Bacillati; Chloroflexota.
UGGGGAAUAUUGCACAAUGGGCGCAAGCCUGAUGCAGCCAUGCCGCGUGUAUGAAGAAGGCCUUCGGGUUGUAAAGUACUUUCAGCGGGGAGGAAGGGAGUAAAGUUAAUACCUUUGCUCAUUGACGUUACCCGCAGAAGAAGCACCGGCUAACUCCGUGCCAGCAGCCGCGGUAAUACGGAGGGUGCAAGCGUUAAUCGGAAUUACUGGGCGUAAAGCGCACGCAGGCGGUUUGUUAAGUCAGAUGUGAAAUCCCCGGGCUCAACCUGGGAACUGCAUCUGAUACUGGCAAGCUUGAGUCUCGUAGAGGGGGGUAGAAUUCCAGGUGUAGCGGUGAAAUGCGUAGAUAUAUGGAGGAACACCAGUGGCGAAGGCGGCCCCCUGGACAAAGACUGACGCUCAGGUGCGAAAGCGUGGGGAGCAAACAGG